Thunnus maccoyii (southern bluefin tuna) is the source of this 1082-nucleotide long non-coding RNA. RefSeq lists it as uncharacterized. The transcript has 3 exons. Lineage: Eukaryota; Metazoa; Chordata; Actinopteri; Scombriformes; Scombridae. The record is from RefSeq and is a predicted model, not a curated record.
GCAGUGGACCAAUGAGGCGGCUGCGGAGGCGGACCUGUCGCCCCCUUGCAAAGCAUAAGUAGCCUAGCCGUCAGCGGCGGAAGGAAGGAGGGCAGAAAGAGGAAAAAAGAAAAAAAGAGGACAAUAAGGGGUCUGGGAGGAAGUGGGGAACAAAAGAGCUGGGGAGUAGCACUACACUCUGGCCUGCAGUCCAGGUGACGGUGAAAGGAUGCCAUGGCCUGUCACUAUACGAUGCCUGUAUGCUGAGAAAGCCUCUUAUCCACCCAAGCAGAGCUGUGACGAAAUCCCAAAUAAACACAGCAUCGGAGACAGAGGGAUGUAUCUAGGACGGAAAGCUGUCCUGUCUGUGGGGAACAAGGCAAAACAGAUUCUUCUCUGCUGUGCAGCUGCAGAUCGCAUUCAUAGCAUCACAUGGUCUCCAACAGUGCAGAGCAGAAGGCUAAACAUUGAAGACAGUUUCCUGCCACACAGACCAGCAAUACAGUGCAGUCAAAUGUUCAUUUAGAAUUAGAAGUUUCCUAUCUGUCAUUUGAUUAUAAUUAUUUCAAUAACUGCCAUGAGAGGCAGCCAAACUCAGGUGAAGGGAGAUCAGUGCUUCUUUUCCAGUCCCAUCUAGACCACUGAUAUACUUGCUUUUAAUUACACAUUCAUAUGUACAUAAUGGCUAUCCCUACUAUCCUGCAUAUCUUUUCAGUGUUGACUAUGCACAUCCUCAAGAAUGAUCUCAACAAGUCUGCGAAAUGCAAUUAAGCACAUGAACAGUGGGCAAAUUAUAUCAGGAUGAGAAAUAAGUUCACCAGCAGACUGUAAAUAACAAGAUCAAUGACAUUACUGACUAGCACCCCACUCCUGACCAUAAAACCCCUACAACGUGGACCCUCGUGGCAGCCCAGUUUAUGCAGCAAGCAUAAACUGGGCUAUCCUUCUCCUGCCUGGUCCUUUCAGCAGCCUUCAAUAAACAUCCCUUUGUCUCCUUGAUGUUUAUUCACAUCCUUAAAGUUAGGUGACUUUUGCCAUCAUGGCUACAAUAAUUAGGGGGCAAUCACUGUACGUUUCUGAAAGAAAUAUCCCGACUCACGGUU